AUUAAGUCGUGGUUUACAGAAAAUCAACAUUGAUCGUUUUGUUGACGAAUUGUUGCAACUUAUUUUACUCUUUUUGAAAAAUGCACAAGACGAACAGUUGCACUGGCCUUUAGCUGAGUACAUCAAUGCAAAGCUUGAACAAGAUGGUUGUGAUAUUAUUAAAGAUCUUGAGGAGAGUUCAUCCGAUGAAAUUACUGUGGCACAUGCUUCUGAAGCUUGGAAGCUUGCAUGUCAGAAAAGUGAUGAUUACAAUUCAAGAAUGUAUUGAUUAAGUGGACAAUGUUUUUAAUGACGAUAAAAUGCUUGAAAUUCUCUAACUUGAUAAUGUUCGUUUAAUUUCAAGCGAGAUUUAGAAGGCAUAGCUAGGUAUUUUUCAAACCAAUUUACUAAAAUAUCAUCAUAAAAUUACAUGAAAUACAGAAAACAAUUAUCAUUUACUAUGAAAACAUCGGAGAACAUUAGUAAGUAAUUAAAAACAGUAUAUCAUUAUUUCUGUCUUUAUUAACCUUUUAGCAAUGUGCAUGUGUGACGUUUAAACACUGAAUUAAAAUGUUCGUUGUGUUAUUCUUACUAAUCUAGCGUAAAUAAAGUCAAAAUCUACCAUUUGCUCCAA
Molecule: long non-coding RNA, 613 nt
Organism: Xenia sp. Carnegie-2017
Lineage: Eukaryota; Metazoa; Cnidaria; Anthozoa; Malacalcyonacea; Xeniidae
Exons: 2
Source: RefSeq, a predicted model, not a curated record